CGCUGCAAAACUAGCCCACAAUCCAAAACCAACCAAUACACAUUAAUAAACCCUUAUUUACAUAUAAUAAACCACCAAACCAUUUUUCCGCCUUAGUACGGGAGACAAAAAAGGAACCAGGAGCAACAGAAUUAG
RNAcentral lists this ribosomal RNA (135 nucleotides) under Syngnathus temminckii (longsnout pipefish). Its description in RNAcentral is "partial 16S ribosomal RNA". The record is from RNAcentral. Lineage: Eukaryota; Metazoa; Chordata; Actinopteri; Syngnathiformes; Syngnathidae.